RNAcentral lists this long non-coding RNA (1412 nucleotides) under Heterocephalus glaber (naked mole-rat). RNAcentral describes it as "lncRNA (ENSHGLG00100033863.1)". Lineage: Eukaryota; Metazoa; Chordata; Mammalia; Rodentia; Bathyergidae. The record is from RNAcentral.
CCUAGGUUUGAUUCCCGGGAUUAAAAAGAAGAAGAAAAAAAGAAAAAGAAAAAAGGGCAGAAUUGACCCCUUUCAACUCCAAAAUUAGACUUGUUAGGAAAACUGAAAAGUAUGAUAGGUCUGUGUGAGCAUGUGGCAGUUCAGCUAGAUCUUGUUUUUCACUUUCCUGAAUUAACUCUGAUUAUGAUUACUGGCUAGAUAGCUUAGUGGUUGAGGGUAAAAGCUCAUGACUCAUACUGGACCAAGCAGAAAAAUUACAAUUAAUAUUUGUGUAACUCUUUAAGCUUCAAUUUCCUCAUGUAAAAAAUGAAGCUAAGAAGCCUUUCUAUGUAGAUUUUAUAAGCCCCAAAUGACCCAGGGGUAGUGGUCACCAUCCACUCCCCUUUUUAAUUCCUUAACCUGAGCUCCCUGCAAGAACCAGAUGGACCCUGGAAAGUCAAGAGUAGCUUGAGUAGCUCAAUUGUAAAGUCUACAAAGAGUAGCUCAAUUGUAGUUGUUGUGUUGGAAAUGGUAUCUUGCUUAGACCAGUUUAAUGUAGCUUCAGGUCCAUGGUAUCCAGCCAAAAGCAGUUUCCUCUGAUGUGGGGUAGACAGUAUUAUGCAUUAUGGUCUCCCCUCAGAAAGCCUGUGUUCACCCUUCUGCCCUCAGUCACAACAGUGCCAGCGGCCUGAACCAGCUGGACAUUCUGCAGAACACUACAUUGGCCCAGCCUAUCUGUGGGCUGGAGGGUUGGGUGGCCUCAGAGAGGAGAAGCGAGACCCCCCACAAGAAUUCACAUCAGUGAAGUUUGUGGAGGUUCCAGCAGUGCGGAUGUGCUGGGACAUCCUCUCUAAAGUACAGUACAAACCUUCCAAAAGCGGAUACUGUGAUUCUCAAUUCUUUCCGACUUGUGUCCUUUCUGUCUCCACACCUGAAGUAAAUUCUGCCUGGAAGCCAUUGCCCCACAGUGCUCCCUGGAGGAUCAAUGGACUGUGCUGGUUCCCAGACACCUGGGCCUGCCGUGGUCAGUACAUGGCAAGGUUCAGUCAUGCAUUCCCUCCCUUCCUGACAUCCCGGUAGGUCUCAGGCAAGGAGCCCUGGUAGGAGGCAGGCUCAGAUACUGUUCCUGUUCUUCUUCUGGGAUGCUUAGCUCUUUUUAACCCAGAAGUUGCUGGGAAAAUCUAUGUCUAAAAUGCAUACCAAGCCAGGCAUGGUGGUACAUGUCUGUAAUCCCAGCACUCAGAGACUGAGGCAGGAGGACCAUUGUGAAUUUGAGGGCAGCCUAGACUACAUGGUGAGACCCUGUCUCAAAAAACCAAUAAUCAAAAACAAUGCAUGCCAGCAGAAUGCUGAGGAGCAAUAAGUCCCUUUCCUGUUGUCUCCUAACUGGAUAUGGCUUUCCCCAGGGGUUGCCAUGAUGUCAUACCAAAGAG